This is a small nucleolar RNA of Callithrix jacchus (white-tufted-ear marmoset), 138 nucleotides long. The record is from Ensembl. Lineage: Eukaryota; Metazoa; Chordata; Mammalia; Primates; Cebidae.
UCUCCUCUUUUUGCUUAAAGAUGAUUUGCUUUUUGGCAGUACCCAUCUCCUAUCAGCCAGGGACAAAGUGAUUCCUUGUUCAUCCCCAGCUUGGCUUCUGAUCUGUGCCCAUGCCUGGUCCAUGCCUUGGACACAUGG